RNAcentral lists this ribosomal RNA (426 nucleotides) under Triticum aestivum (bread wheat). RNAcentral's name for it is "partial small subunit ribosomal RNA". The record is from RNAcentral. Lineage: Eukaryota; Viridiplantae; Streptophyta; Magnoliopsida; Poales; Poaceae.
AUGGCCUUCGAGGCGGCGAAGGUGCCGGUGCCGCAGUCGGUGAACUUCAAGAGGAAGAGGGGAGAGCUCUGGGUCGCCGCGAAGAAGAAGAAGGUCGCCGACGAGAAGAAGAAGGACGCGGAGAACACCAAGGACAAGGAGCUGGUGCAACUUAAGCAUGAGGCCCGGAUGAAGGGUGGGUUCUAUGUCAGUCCCGAGGCAAAGCUGUUGUUUGUCGUCCGUAUCCGUGGUAUCAAUGCUAUGCACCCAAAGACCAAGAAGAUCUUGCAGCUUUUGCGUUUGAGGCAGCCUCAUAUACUGGAUGCUACUCGUUUACUGUUCAAGCCCAAUUACCCAACCGAUGCUAUAACGUAUUUUGGUCAUAAACAUCUUCGACCAUUCCAGAAGAAAGGUCGCUAUAGUCAGUUUUUGACGGCCAGCUUUUGA